AGAACGAACGCUGGCGGCGUGCCUAACACAUGCAAGUCGAACGAGAAAGGGGCUUCGGCUCCGAGUAAAGUGGCGCACGGGUGAGUAACACGUAGGUAACCUGCCUCUAAGAUUGGGAUAACUUGUCGAAAGACGAGCUAAUACCAAAUAAGACCACGGUCUCCUCGGGGACAGAGGUCAAAGGUAGCCUCUAUUUAUAAGCUAUCGCUGAGAGAUGGGCCUGCGUACCAUUAGCUUGUUGGUGAGGUAACGGCUCACCAAGGCAAAGAUGGUUAGCUGGUCUGAGAGGAUGAUCAGCCACACUGGAACUGAGACACGGUCCAGACUCCUACGGGAGGCAGCAGUGGGGAAUAUUGCGCAAUGGGACGAAAGCCUGACGCAGCAACGCCGCGUGAGUGAUGAAGGCCUUACGGGUCGUAAAGCUACGUGUACGGAGGAACGAAGUGCUCUUGAGGUGAACACGACCGUCGGAGGUAGGAACCGUACCCGUAGAAACGG
Molecule: ribosomal RNA, 498 nt
Filed under: uncultured soil bacterium
Lineage: Bacteria
Description: bacterial SSU rRNA
Rfam family: Bacterial small subunit ribosomal RNA
Source: RNAcentral